Non-coding RNA from Acanthosepion pharaonis, 114 nucleotides. Lineage: Eukaryota; Metazoa; Mollusca; Cephalopoda; Sepiida; Sepiidae. The record is from the annotation of a GenBank genome assembly.
UUACGGCCAUAUCGCGUUGAAACCCCGGUUCCCUUACGAUCACCAAAGUUAAGCAAGGUCGAUCAUGGUCAGUAACGAAAUGGGUGACCGCUUGUGAAUACCAGGUGCUGCAUG